GGAGAGAUGACCGAGCGGUUGAAGGUGCUCGCCUGGAAAGCGUGUAUACAGGAAACUGUAUCGGGGGUUCGAAUCCCCCUCUCUCCG
This 87-nucleotide transfer RNA is filed under the name Peptoclostridium acidaminophilum DSM 3953. It matches the Rfam family "tRNA". Rfam says of the family: Transfer RNA (tRNA) molecules are approximately 80 nucleotides in length. Their secondary structure includes four short double-helical elements and three loops (D, anti-codon, and T loops). The record is from Rfam by way of RNAcentral. Lineage: Bacteria; Bacillati; Bacillota; Clostridia; Peptostreptococcales; Peptoclostridiaceae.